GAUGAGUGCUCGACGGCAUACAGCCCCUGUGGCCAGCUAUGUCACAACACACGCGGCUCUUACUCCUGUGGUUGUAUUCGAGGUUACCGGCUCCACAAUGGCACUGACUGUCGAGUUACAGAUGAUGCUGUUAAAAUUCUUAUUGCAGCAGAUAGAGAACUUGGUAUCCUGGAUCGAGGAACAGGCAUCUAUGAGACACUGGUACCUGUAAAAUCACGGCCUACUUCUGUUGCAUAUGAUCUAGAGAGAAGCAUGUACUUCUGGGUGGAUGAAGUCUUAAAUGUGUUUGUUCUUGGGAAUCCAAACCCUGCUUCUCUCUAUCCAGGUAUAUUUCUUGAUAUUAAGAGUUCUAGCUUCUUUAAGCUACUUAAACAUGGUGUGAGAAACGUAUGUUCAUCAGGACAUCUUCUGUGACUCACUUGUCAUGAAUCAUGAGAGUAAGAUUUAAGUCUAUGUAACUUAGUUCUAUAGGAGCUUGGUAGAGUAUAACCUGAGAUGAGAUUGUUAAGCAGUAUGGAAAGUAUAGAGAUGUGGGCUCAGGCCAAGGUUAGUCUCAGCUCCAUCACUUGGUAUAUGACCCUGAGCAAGUUGUUAAUUCCUUUGAAUCACCAUGUAAAAGAUGAAGAUAACAGCACUUGUCUCAUUGGGUAAGUGUGGGGAUUAAGGGGAAGAAGAGCUUAGCAUAGUCCUGGAUGUGCAAAAAUCCUCUGCUGGCAGUUAAGAGGUAGCAUUCAUCACAGCCUUCCCAGAAAAAAUAUCAAAAGCUUUGAUAAUGAAUAUUGUCCCAAACUGAGGUCACAUUCUCCUGGAUGUCUUGGUUACACUUCUCCUAAGGCCUUUGUCUUUCCUUACUGUAAAUUGGGAAUAACACCUCACACAGCAGUAGCUCUCAUUCAUCCCCUGUAUCCUGUUGGACUCAUUACGUGACUUGAGAUCAGAAGGUGUAGAAAAAUUUUGUCUGAGUCUCUUUUUUCAAGGUGAGACGGGCAUAGGAGAGCACAGAAACAAGAAGCUGUCUCUUGUAAUCCCCAGAACUUAAAACCAUCAACAGUAUCUCUUUGGACUGGUUCACGGGGCAGUUGUAUUGGGCUAGCAGCUUUGCCAGGGUCAUCUGUGCUGGUUUAAGUGAUGGCAGAGGCUACAUCAGAAUCUUGGAAAAGGAUCUUGUGCCAGAGCAACUCAUAGUGUUUCCUGCAAAGAAGUACCUGUAUUGGGUAAAUCGAGGUGGGAAAAGCCUGAGGACUAUCGAAACGGCAGGGAUGGAUGGCUCUGAUAGGAAGGUGCUGGUGGUGGUCAACAUGGAGGAACCCACAGGGCUGACGCUGGACCAUGUGGCCAGCAGACUCUACUGGAUCAGUGAAUACAAAGAGGUACCAUGGAUGGGUCAGGAGGAAAAGG
This is a long non-coding RNA of Capra hircus (goat), 1398 nucleotides long. RefSeq lists it as uncharacterized. The transcript is spliced from 3 exons. Lineage: Eukaryota; Metazoa; Chordata; Mammalia; Artiodactyla; Bovidae. The record is from RefSeq and is a predicted model, not a curated record.